GAACGAAGCAAUUAAAUGAAGUUUUCGGAUGGAAUUUGAUUGACUGAGUGGCGGACGGGUGAGUAACGCGUGGAUAACCUGCCUCACACUGGGGGAUAACAGUUAGAAAUGACUGCUAAUACCGCAUAAGCGCACAGUACCGCAUGGUACGGUGUGAAAAACUCCGGUGGUGUGAGAUGGAUCCGCGUCUGAUUAGCCAGUUGGCGGGGUAACGGCCCACCAAAGCGACGAUCAGUAGCCGACCUGAGAGGGUGACCGGCCACAUUGGGACUGAGACACGGCCCAAACUCCUACGGGAGGCAGCAGUGGGGAAUAUUGCACAAUGGGCGAAAGCCUGAUGCAGCGACGCCGCGUGAGUGAAGAAGUAUUUCGGUAUGUAAAGCUCUAUCAGCAGGGAAGAAAAUGACGGUACCUGACUAAGAAGCCCCGGCUAACUACGUGCCAGCAGCCGCGGUAAUACGUAGGGGGCAAGCGUUAUCCGGAUUUACUGGGUGUAAAGGGAGCGUAGACGGCGAAGCAAGUCUGAAGUGAAAACCCAGGGCUCAACCCUGGGACUGCUUUGGAAACUGUUUUGCUAGAGUGUCGGAGAGGUAAGUGGAAUUCCUAGUGUAGCGGUGAAAUGCGUAGAUAUUAGGAGGAACACCAGUGGCGAAGGCGGCUUAC
RNAcentral lists this ribosomal RNA (663 nucleotides) under uncultured Lachnospiraceae bacterium. RNAcentral's name for it is "bacterial SSU rRNA". It matches the Rfam family "Bacterial small subunit ribosomal RNA", at positions 49 to 729 of the family's 1533-position model. The record is from RNAcentral. Lineage: Bacteria; Bacillati; Bacillota; Clostridia; Lachnospirales; Lachnospiraceae.